This 301-nucleotide ribosomal RNA is filed under the name uncultured bacterium. RNAcentral describes it as "partial 16S ribosomal RNA". It matches the Rfam family "Bacterial small subunit ribosomal RNA", at positions 509 to 809 of the family's 1533-position model. The record is from RNAcentral.
CAGUAGCCGCGGUAAUACGGAGGGAGCUAGCGUUAUUCGGAAUUACUGGGCGUAAAGCGCACGUAGGCGGCUUUGUAAGUUAGAGGUGAAAGCCUGGAGCUCAACUCCAGAAUUGCCUUUAAGACUGCAUCGCUUGAAUCCAGGAGAGGUGAGUGGAAUUCCGAGUGUAGAGGUGAAAUUCGUAGAUAUUCGGAAGAACACCAGUGGCGAAGGCGGCUCACUGGACUGGUAUUGACGCUGAGGUGCGAAAGCGUGGGGAGCAAACAGGAUUAGAUACCCGGGUAGUCCCUGUCUCUUAUAA